UGGCGGCCUUAGCGCGGUGGUCCCACCUGACCCCAUGCCGAACUCAGAAGUGAAA
Molecule: ribosomal RNA, 55 nt
Filed under: Escherichia coli 1-392-07_S1_C1
Lineage: Bacteria; Pseudomonadati; Pseudomonadota; Gammaproteobacteria; Enterobacterales; Enterobacteriaceae
Also listed under: 1 other name
Source: RNAcentral